CUUAAGUUUCUCCGCCGUCAGUGAUUAUAAAUUUAGAGGUCUCAGAAAAUAAAGAAUAAUCGAAAUCAGAGUUUCAACGCCGCCCGACACAUUCUGAAAAUCUGAGAAUAUAUGUGGAUAGUGGUAGUUGGGGUAACGCUUGCUUUCAUCACGCUGCAAAUGAGAGAGAAACUGAGAUGAAAAAGCAAGUUCUCUCUUUGCAAGGUCUCUUCCACUAUGAAACCGUAAGAUUAAUUUUUAUUUUCCUAUAUUUUUUCCAUUUUGUGCUUUACAAAAAAUCCACUUUAAAUCUUUAUAUUUCAUUAAAAAUAAAUGUUUAUGUAUGAAUAUAUUACAUUAUAUGGAUCCAUACAAUUGAAUACUCAGGAAUUUUGGAGUUCUUAGAUCUGAAUCUGUUAGGGCAACCCCAAUAUGGGGAUUUAUUUUAGGGGCUAUUAAAUUGUUUAUUCAUAUAUUUUGUAGUUUGAGAUGAUUAAGAACUUUGGGUUUGUUAAUUAAAAGUUUUCCCACCAUUUA
Camelina sativa (false flax) is the source of this 516-nucleotide long non-coding RNA. RefSeq lists it as uncharacterized. Lineage: Eukaryota; Viridiplantae; Streptophyta; Magnoliopsida; Brassicales; Brassicaceae. The record is from RefSeq and is a predicted model, not a curated record.